This 625-nucleotide ribosomal RNA is filed under the name Pseudomonas sp. 88_b. RNAcentral describes it as "bacterial SSU rRNA". It matches the Rfam family "Bacterial small subunit ribosomal RNA", at positions 64 to 684 of the family's 1533-position model. Lineage: Bacteria; Pseudomonadati; Pseudomonadota; Gammaproteobacteria; Pseudomonadales; Pseudomonadaceae. The record is from RNAcentral.
GAGCGGAUGAGAGGAGCUUGCUCCUGGAUUCAGCGGCGGACGGGUGAGUAAUGCCUAGGAAUCUGCCUGGUAGUGGGGGACAACGUUUCGAAAGGAACGCUAAUACCGCAUACGUCCUACGGGAGAAAGCAGGGGACCUUCGGGCCUUGCGCUAUCAGAUGAGCCUAGGUCGGAUUAGCUAGUUGGUGAGGUAAUGGCUCACCAAGGCGACGAUCCGUAACUGGUCUGAGAGGAUGAUCAGUCACACUGGAACUGAGACACGGUCCAGACUCCUACGGGAGGCAGCAGUGGGGAAUAUUGGACAAUGGGCGAAAGCCUGAUCCAGCCAUGCCGCGUGUGUGAAGAAGGUCUUCGGAUUGUAAAGCACUUUAAGUUGGGAGGAAGGGYWGUAAMUUAAUACKYUGCUGUUUUGACGUUACCGACAGAAUAAGCACCGGCUAACUCUGUGCCAGCAGCCGCGGUAAUACAGAGGGUGCAAGCGUUAAUCGGAAUUACUGGGCGUAAAGCGCGCGUAGGUGGUUCGUUAAGUUGGAUGUGAAAUCCCCGGGCUCAACCUGGGAACUGCAUUCAAAACUGUCGAGCUAGAGUAUGGUAGAGGGUGGUGGAAUUUCCUGUGUAGCGGUGA